UGAAUACUUCAGCAUGGAAUAAUAGAGUAGGACCUUGGUUCUAUUUUGUUGGUUUCGAGCCUUGGUAAUGGUUAAUAGGAACGGUUGGGGGCAUUCGUAUUUAACUGUCAGAGGUGAAAUUCUUAGAUUUGUUAAAGACGAACGGCUGCGAAAGCAUUUGCCAAGGACGUUUUCAUUAAUCAAGAACGAAAGUUAGGGGAUCGAAGACGAUCAGAUACCGUCGUAGUCCUAACCAUAAACUAUGCCGACUAGGGAUUGGAGGUCGUCAUUUUCCGACUCCUUCAGCACCUUGAGAGAAAUCAAAGUCUUUGGGUUUUGGGGGGAGUAUGGUCGCAAGUCUGAAACUUAAAGGAAUUGACGGAAGGGCACCACCAGGCGUGGAGCCUGCGGCUUAAUUUGACUCAACACGGGGAACCUCACCAGGUCCAGA
RNAcentral lists this ribosomal RNA (430 nucleotides) under Babesia bigemina. RNAcentral's name for it is "SSU rRNA". It matches the Rfam family "Eukaryotic small subunit ribosomal RNA", at positions 796 to 1228 of the family's 1831-position model. The record is from RNAcentral. Lineage: Eukaryota; Apicomplexa; Aconoidasida; Piroplasmida; Babesiidae.